Non-coding RNA from Maylandia zebra (zebra mbuna), 318 nucleotides. NCBI's taxonomy places the organism in Eukaryota, Metazoa, Chordata, Actinopteri, Cichliformes, Cichlidae. The record is from RefSeq and is a predicted model, not a curated record.
CCGGUGGAAUUCCGCCUCCUGCCAGGAACAGCUCACCUGUUUUUUCGUGUUUAUUGUCCAGGUGUGGAACUUGUUGUUGGUGUGUGUGAAGAAACUACUGACUGAAGUCCGCAAGAAGAUGAUGAUGGAGGACGAGGAGAACAGAGCAGAGUCUGCAGGAGCCAGCUGUCCAUCUAUGAGGAGUGACAGGUCCAAACCUCAACCUCCAGACUUCAGUGCUGAACCUGGACAAACUAGAGUGACACCUCCUACUGCAGCUCCAACUGCAGCUCCCACUGCAGCUCCCACCGGUCCCCCCACAGCUCCAACAGCACCUCC